CAGCAGCCGCGGGAAAACGUAGGGUGCGAGCGUUAAUCGGAAUUACUGGGCGUAAAGCGUGCGCAGGCGGUUGUGUAAGACAGGUGUGAAAUCCCCGGGCUUAACCUGGGAACUGCGCUUGUGACUGCACAGCUAGAGUAUGGCAGAGGGGGGUGGAAUUCCACGUGUAGCAGUGAAAUGCGUAGAGAUGUGGAGGAACACCGAUGGCGAAGGCAGCCCCCUGGGCCAAUACUGACGCUCAUGCACGAAAGCGUGGGGAGCAAACAGGAUUAGAUACCCCCGUAGUCCCUGUCUCUUAUAC
This 301-nucleotide ribosomal RNA is filed under the name uncultured bacterium. Its description in RNAcentral is "partial 16S ribosomal RNA". It matches the Rfam family "Bacterial small subunit ribosomal RNA", at positions 509 to 807 of the family's 1533-position model. The record is from RNAcentral.